GCGGUAUCCUGGCAACCUGUUAGCUGUUGUUCACCUGGAACGUGCUUCCGUCACAUUUUAGCUAGCGCCAAUUGAAUGCGAGUUUAAUUUAAAGUCAAUGUAGCGCAGUGGUUCGUGCCUGAGCUCACUGUACAAUGAUUGAACAGCUGCGUUUGACGUGCGACAGGCUCGUGUCUCACCGGCAGCUCGCGUGCGGCCACUCUUACUGCGGCAUACCGGUGCAUGGAAAAGACAUAUUCAUUUACUCUAACACGGACACUGAGCGAAAGCCUUUGCUGCUCACCGGCCACCAUGGCGACAUCAGUGCCAUGACAUUUGGACAGAGCAGCAGGCGUCUUCUCCUCUGCUCUGCCUCUGCUGAUUAUAUCAUUGUCUGGGAUGUUGAACAGUGUCAGAAGAGAUCUCAGGAGGGUAAAAUUGCAGCUGGUACGAUUGUUGGAUCUCUACUGGGUGACGUUGUUCAUCUUUCAUUCUGUUCUUCUGACGAGCGAGUGGCUGCAUGCUCAGGAGUAACUGUCUAUAUUCUCAGCUCAGAGAAACAAGAGGUGAUCUCUGCUUUAGCUGGUCACCUGGGACCUUUGACAUCGGCAGAGUUUUGUCCCUGGAACAAACACAUUCUCAUCACCACAUCAGAAGACCGCACUUUUAAGGUGUGGAAUUUAGAAACUGAAACAGUUUGCUACCAGUCUUUUGUGCUUUCAGCUUCUCCACUGAUCAGUUCAGCGUUCCUGGAGGAGAACAGGCACGUUAUCAUUGGCUCAACUGAUGGACAGGUGUGGUGUUUCUCUUUUCCUGAUGACCACAAGUGUGAGCUUGUGACCAAAAUAGAAAUCCAGAAAGUUGAAAGACGACUUCACAAUUCACAGCAAGAAACCCUGGGCCAGCAAGCAGAGAGCGUGAAACAGUUGCCUGCAGAUGAAGUGGAAAUAUCAAAACCUAUCCUUAAAAUGGCUCCGUGGAGCUCAUUUACAGACACCACUAUUCCAGAAAGGGACAGCAGCUGGUUGUGUGUCGGAAGCUCUGAUGGCCUGUAUGUGGUGAACGUAGCGACCUCAGAACUCCUCACAGUCCUGUAUUUCAGAGAUUACCCCAACCUCAGCCUCUCAGUGGCUGGGUCCUGGUCAAUCUCUCCAGGGUUGGACAACUCGAUGGUGUUUUUAGUGAGCUCUUUGUUUACUCCCCAUGUGGUGUUGGUGAAGUUACAUCUGUGUGAGCUUGAGGGAAUCUGGGCUGGCGAUGAAGGCUUUUCAGUGUUCCCGAGUUCUCCUCUGCUGCUUGAAUCUCCUCUCAAUGUUGAGUUAAAGAAGAAAGAAGCAAACCAUCCUAAAAAGAAAGGAGAAGUGAAGGAUCAGCCUUUGGUUUUCCACUCAGUAGCCAGGUCAUCUGGAUACGCCAGUGCUCCACGAAAAACUAUGUUUUCACCAAAAACGAAUAUUCAGAAGAAUCCAUUUUUCAAAAAGGCCAGGAAAAAUGCAGGAUUACUUCUUAAAGAUUACCCAGGAGACAGCACAGCACCUAUUAUUCCACACAACCAUCUAAGUAUUGCUAGCAAACCAGUCCACUGCAUUCAGUAUUCAGGUGAUGGAAAACAAAUCCUGUGUGGUCUUGGCAACAGCUCCGUGUUAUUGUACAAGUCUUCUCUUUCUGGCAAUCCAGCUGUCUACACAGGCCAUGACAAGCCAGUGAGCAGUGUGAGCUGGAGCCUCAGCAGGCAGUGGUGGCUGAGUGCAUCAGAAGACCGCACGCUACGCCUCUGGAGCCAUGGCAGUCCAGAGCCUGCCAUUAUCAUGGCUAACAGCAGGUUUACAAAACCCAUUAGAAGUGCUCAGUUUUACUACCUGGACAAGUUUCUGCUUUUUGCAUCUGGGCCUUCCCUCUACUUGUACCUGUAUAAUGUGGACAUCACGCGUGAUGACAUCAAGAGAUAUCAACAACGAAGUGUGGUCAAACUGGCAAAAUGCUUCACAACAGGCUCGGCAACGGACAUCACUGCCAUGUCUGCAGCCAAUGAUUUCCUGUCUUAUAUUGUUCUUGUGUGUGGUUCCGAUCGAUCCAUUCAAGUUUUCGACAUGAACAAGGGUGUAGUUGCGUCAAAGCUAGCUGAUCCGCACAGCAGAGCCGUCCACUGCAUCACUCAGAACAAGGGCUCCAUGUUCAGCACACAGGCUCUGGAUUCAUAUAAUCUCUUCCUCACCAGUGCAGUCACAGAUGGUGUAAAGAUUUGGGACCUCCGUACGCUCAGGUGUGUCCGCCGCUAUGAGAGCCAUCUGAAUCGCUGCCAUCCGUGCUCUUCAGCCUUUUCACCAUGCGGCCAGUUCAUUGUCUCAGGCUCGGAAGAUAACUGUGUGAAACACAGACAGGAAACAGCAGGAUAUCUUUCAGUUUCAGCUCCAUUUAAGGGGCCACACAUGGCAUCGGCCUCAGACAGGAGACCCUCUGCCCACGGCCCACUGGACAGGGCUCGCUUGCAGUGUUUUUCAGAGAAGCAUAAUACCAAACAGAUGCACGGCCUAUGUGUAUGACAUCCGUAGCAGCGGCUACCUUCACAAGCUUCAAAGGCACUCAGACACAGUCCUUAGUGUGACCUUUAACCCAGCCACCCCAGAGCUGCUGACUGGGACCCUCGAUGGGAAGCUGAGGCUUUUCCAGUCCAGCAGCGGGGCCUCUAUGACUCCUGACACCAGACCUGCUGUGUCCCCGACAUGACUGGACUCCGUAGCGGGCGGCGACGCACCUCUGGCUGGGAUUCCUCUAAGAUUAAUAGAAAGUUAGAGGUUUUAAGAGCUUGUUUUCACGUUAUUUAUCUUUGUGCUUGACUCGCAGUCUUUGUUAAAGCUCCAGUAUGUAAAUUAUCAGAGCACAUUUUACUGACUGGGCCAUUGGGGAUUCUGUGGUUUGACUGAAGUUCAUUUAGCCUCGCAGCAUUUAAUCAGUUAUCGAUAAUUACACCUACACCAAAUAUGCCAAGAGUCAUUAAACCAAGUCCUUUGAUGCACAUUGUGGAUGGUCAUAGAUCAGAUUUUGUUAGUGGUGUAUGCGAAGCAGAUGUACAUCUAUAUUAUUCAGUAUGACGACUACUUGACAGAUGACUAUGCAGCUAUGACAUCAGCUGGGUGCAACCUCUUUGUCUGCCAGGCCCACAGAUGCUACUACCGUUGAUGGUGACACACCCAUCCACAUAGUUUGAGCUUUACAUUCACCUCCUGUGAGGUCUCAACAAAAUAGGUGUUUAUUGUAGAUGUUAUGACAGGAUUAAAAAUACAGGAAUUAAAAACUGUUACUGUUCUGUU
Betta splendens (Siamese fighting fish) is the source of this 3290-nucleotide RNA transcript. It is a transcript of the gene named WD repeat domain 27, with no coding region annotated. The record is from RefSeq and is a predicted model, not a curated record. The transcript has 26 exons. NCBI's taxonomy places the organism in Eukaryota, Metazoa, Chordata, Actinopteri, Anabantiformes, Osphronemidae.